GAUGAACGCUGGCGGCGUGCUUAACACAUGCAAGUCGAACGAAGCAUUUAAGACAGAUUACUUCGGUUUGAAGUCUGUUAUGACUGAGUGGCGGACGGGUGAGUAACGCGUGGGUAACCUGCCUCAUACAGGGGGAUAGCAGCUGGAAACGGCUGGUAAUACCGCAUAAGCGCACAGUACCACAUGGUACAGUGUGAAAAACUCCGGUGGUAUGAGAUGGACCCGCGUCUGAUUAGCUUGUUGGCGGGGUAACGGCCCACCAAGGCGACGAUCAGUAGACGACAUGAGAGGGUGGCCGGCCACAUUGGGACUGAGACACGGCCCAGACUACUACGGGAGGCAGCAGUGGGGAAUAUUGCACAAUGGAGGAAACUCUGAUGCAGCGACGCCGCGUGAGUGAAGAAGUAGUUAGCUAUGUAAAGCUCUAUCAGCAGGGAAGAUAGUGACGGUACCUGACGAAGAAGCUCCGGCUAAAUACGUG
This 481-nucleotide ribosomal RNA is filed under the name uncultured bacterium. Its description in RNAcentral is "partial 16S ribosomal RNA". It matches the Rfam family "Bacterial small subunit ribosomal RNA", at positions 28 to 507 of the family's 1533-position model. The record is from RNAcentral.